GACGAACGCUGCGGCGUGCUUAAUACAUGCAAGUAGAACGCUAAAGCUUGGUGCUUGCACCGAGCGGAUGAGUUGCGAACGGGUAGUAACGCGUAGGUAACCUGCCUGGUAGCGGGGGAUAACUAUUGGAAACGAUAGCUAAUACCGCAUAAAAUGGAUUAUCGCAUGAUAAUUCAUUGAAAGGUGCAAAUGCAUCACUACCAGAUGGACCUGCGUUGUAUUAGCUAGUUGGUGGGUAACGGCUCACCAAGGCGACGAUACAUAGCCGACCUGAGAGGGUGAUCGGCCACACUGGGACUGAGACACGGCCCAGAUCCUACGGGAGGCAGCAGUAGGGAAUCUUCGGCAAUGGACGGAAGUCUGACCGAGCAACGCCGCGUGAGUGAAGAAGGUUUUCGGAUCGUAAAGCUCUGUUGUAAGAGAAGAACGAGUGUGAGAGUGGAAAGUUCACACUGUGACGGUAUCUUACCAGAAAGGGACGGC
RNAcentral lists this ribosomal RNA (483 nucleotides) under Streptococcus sp. oral taxon 070. RNAcentral's name for it is "bacterial SSU rRNA". It matches the Rfam family "Bacterial small subunit ribosomal RNA", at positions 28 to 497 of the family's 1533-position model. The record is from RNAcentral. Lineage: Bacteria; Bacillati; Bacillota; Bacilli; Lactobacillales; Streptococcaceae.